Hippopotamus amphibius kiboko is the source of this 131-nucleotide small nucleolar RNA. RefSeq annotates it as small nucleolar RNA SNORA31. The transcript has a single exon. Lineage: Eukaryota; Metazoa; Chordata; Mammalia; Artiodactyla; Hippopotamidae. The record is from RefSeq and is a predicted model, not a curated record.
AUGCUUUUAUUGAAAAGAAUGGACUCAGUUGCUGUCUGCUAAGGUUUCCACCACAGAUGCAAGAAAAAAGUGUCCUUGCAUUUUCUGUCUGUCUGAUUGUGGCAGCCCAGAUUGAAUGGGGAAAUAUAGGG